Molecule: transfer RNA, 72 nt
Filed under: Candidatus Omnitrophota bacterium
Lineage: Bacteria; Pseudomonadati; Candidatus Omnitrophota
Description: Candidatus Omnitrophica bacterium tRNA-Cys
Rfam family: tRNA
About the family: Transfer RNA (tRNA) molecules are approximately 80 nucleotides in length. Their secondary structure includes four short double-helical elements and three loops (D, anti-codon, and T loops).
Source: RNAcentral
GGCGACGUAGCCAAGAGGGAAGGCAGGAGUCUGCAAAACUCUUAUUCACCGGUUCGAUUCCGGUCGUCGCCU